GACGAACGCUGGCGGCGUGCUUAACACAUGCAAGUCGAACGGAAAGGCCCUGCUUUUGUGGGGUGCUCGAGUGGCGAACGGGUGAGUAACACGUGAGUAACCUGCCCUUGACUUUGGGAUAACUUCAGGAAACUGGGGCUAAUACCGGAUAGGAGCUCCUGCUGCAUGGUGGGGGUUGGAAAGUUUCGGCGGUUGGGGAUGGACUCGCGGCUUAUCAGCUUGUUGGUGGGGUAGUGGCUUUCCAAGGCUUUGACGGGUAGCCGGCCUGAGAGGGUGACCGGCCACAUUGGGACUGAGAUACGGCCCAGACUCCUACGGGAGGCAGCAGUGGGGAAUAUUGCACAAUGGGCGGAAGCCUGAUGCAGCAACGCCGCGUGCGGGAUGACGGCCUUCGGGUCGUAAACCGCUUUCGCCUGUGACGAAGCGUGAGUGACGGUAAUGGGUAAAGAAGCACCGGCUAACUACGUG
Molecule: ribosomal RNA, 468 nt
Filed under: uncultured bacterium
Lineage: Bacteria
Description: partial 16S ribosomal RNA
Rfam family: Bacterial small subunit ribosomal RNA
Source: RNAcentral